RNAcentral lists this long non-coding RNA (423 nucleotides) under Rattus norvegicus (Norway rat). Its description in RNAcentral is "long non-coding RNA NONRATT006636". Lineage: Eukaryota; Metazoa; Chordata; Mammalia; Rodentia; Muridae. The record is from RNAcentral.
GCAGGCAGGUCUGACAGGCAGCGGUGGUCAUGAUGAGCUCUGUCUGGGGCCUGGCUGUACCGCUCCUUGUCUUCUACUGGAAGGUUGGAGUCAGUGUGAGCUCUCCAGGUAAGGGACAGGACAGCCCCUGGGGCUCCUCCCUGGUGUCGGUGUUGGCAAAGACAGCCCUUUGUGGGCAAGAGAGACAUUUUUUGUUAAUUGUAUUAAUGGCCUGAGAAAUACACGAGUGUGAGUGUGUGGGAUGGCAGAUGGGUCAGCUUAUGCGGGGUGGCCUUGUGGUGGUCACUGUGAGUCUGGGAGUUAGUCUUUAGUCAUGGGAUAGUGGGGUGGAGGGCAGAGGGGGGCAGGGAUGGCAGCCGGGGAUCAUUUUGCUGUGAGCUGAAGAACCAUGGUCUAAGGAAGCUCUGGUUCCUCCAGCUUUGU